ACAAAAGAAAACAACUGCCAGAGUGAGCUGUGUAAAUCUUCUUUCCUAGGUGUUUUUUAAAAAGAGAAAUGAGUUUCUAUCAAGAUUUCAGUCUUCUCUUGAAUCAAGGAUUGGAAUAAGCUAAACAUCCCCAGCUCCCUAAGUCGUUCCUCAUAGGACAAGGUUUCCAGACCCUUCCAGACCCUAACAAAGGAAAGGUUUUUGGGAACAACUCCCCCCAUCAAGGAUUGACAUGGGGUAGAUGGAACAUCCUGGAAUGGAGCAGAACAUUCAAGACUGACACUCAAAACUGAAGACAGGGAACUUUAUAGCACAGGGCUCCUAGGGAUCGCUCUCAGAAUGGAACAGACCUGGAAUGAGUGGGGGGACGCAUUUUAUCACACACACAAGUCCCUCACUCCUUCCGUUCCAUUCCCCAUCCGUUCCACAGGAGGAGAUUUUUAAGAACUCUUCAAAAAUCUCCUCUCUGGAACGGACUGGGAAUGGAAGGGCAGGGAACGAAAGGAGUGAGGGACUCUGUGUGCAGUAAAAUGUAUCCCUCACUCCUUCCGUUCCCUUCCUGGCUCUUUUGGGACCAUUCUCGUCAUGUCCCAGGAGCCCUGUGCAAUAAAGCCCCUAUAUCAUGCUCUUCCCCUAAGCAGAGGAGGCACCAGGAGUGGCCAUCACGACGAGAUGCUACUGCUGCAUAUAAUACAAAUGAGAUAUGGAAGAAGAACAAAGCCUCAUCAUCACAGCAGAGAAGAAAGAAGGAGGGAUAAGUAUCCUCACAGUCAGGACAAAUAAAUCCACAACAUGGCUAGCCAGGGCUGAUGUGACAUCUUCCAAGAUUCCCUGACCUCCAUGAUGUGUGCACUAAACUCCUUAGUCUUCUUAUGAUUUCUUGACUUCAGUCCUCACUGCAAUCAGUGUUUGAUCCUAGUACAGACAACCACGCAGAAGGCUUUCUUGAUGGAAUCCAAAAUCCAAAACGGAGUGAUACCUUCAUUGGCCAACCAAAAUACAGAUAAUACAUCAUACAAGUUUUCGAAGCUUAACAUCUUCAUGAGGCAAAGAUGUUAAAAAUCAGAGGCAGUCUGCAUCUCAAGGGAAGUUUCUUUUCUUUUGGUAAUGGAGCUGACAUGUUAUUAUCUGUCUUUUAUUGUCCUUUGUUCAUGGUCCUCAAAUGGUGCCCAACCUUUGUUUCUUCAGAUGAUUUUAACAUCAGCUCCCAUAAUUCCCGAGUGUUGGCCAAGUUGCCAGGGGCUUCUGGGAGCUGCAGUCCAAAACAGCCCAGGACAAAGGUUGGGAACUGCUCCAGACUGUUUUAACUGACAACAGAAGUAACAUCUGGGACAAAACGUAGACUGUGACUUUAACAUUGGCUUAAAACAAACAGGCCAAAACCAUUGCCUUUGGGCCACUUGAGGGCAUGGCAUUUAGACAUCACAUGCCCUGGAUGCAGCCUGAAGCUGGGCCGAGGCUGUACCAACAACAAAGAACCAGAACAAAACAGAGCAGAUGUAAUGUGCUUCUGCCAACAGCCUGGUUCGAGACCAUGGUUUGAGACCACUGCACUGAGUGCAGGCCCAUGCAGUCACUGCGGUCUUGGCACAAUCAGUGCCAAAGCAGCCUUACGCUGCUCCUUUGGGCCAGUCUGUGUGACCCCAAAGUCACUUAUCUCUUCUUGUAUGCUUUUUAACAUCUUUGUCUGAUCUUGAGCAUGUUUGGAGGUUCUGGCAGGAGGGCGCAGCUACUGUAUACCCCCGACUGAAGAAUGGUACACUCCUUCUUCUGGGAUGGUCGUCCUCUUCCACCAAGCACGCACCUUCAGGAGGGAUGCACAUGGAGUGGUGAGGGAGGAAAGAGACACCUGCCUAGCCAGCAAGAUCAGUCAAAUCAACCCUGGUGAUCAAUGGGGUGACAGAUGUCACAGCCCGAUCGCCCUCACAUCCAGACAAGCAAAAUAACAGAAAUAUAAUAAUACCUUUGAGGUAACAUAUGUAAAUUUCCUAUGUAAAUCAAAUUAAUGAGGAAAGAAGUCAUAUUAUAUCAACCUUUGGUUCCGUUUGGAAAGGAUUGAUCCAAUAGAACAAAUAAUUUCAGGGAAAUUUACUUUGUAUUUCAAGAUCAGGAUAACAUGACUCAUGGCCUAUGCUCUAUGUAAGCAUUUGUCGGUGUUUCUGUGCUGUUGAUCUAUAUUUGUCAUGUUAAUUUCUGUUUUUUAAUUAAUAAAUUUUAUUAAAAAUAUCUGGACUUAAAAAAAAAUAUUUGACUGUUGAAGAAGCCAGUGAAGCUUUCAAAGGUUGCAUCAUGUAUUUUUGGCAUUUUGGAUGGUCAAUACAAUUGCUGUUC
Sceloporus undulatus (fence lizard) is the source of this 2331-nucleotide long non-coding RNA. RefSeq lists it as uncharacterized. The transcript has 6 exons. Lineage: Eukaryota; Metazoa; Chordata; Lepidosauria; Squamata; Phrynosomatidae. The record is from RefSeq and is a predicted model, not a curated record.